GACGAACGCUGGCGGCGUGCUUAACACAUGCAAGUCGAACGGAAAGGCCCCUUCGGGGGUACUCGAGUGGCGAACAGGUGAGUAACACGUGAGUAACCUGCCCUUGACUUCGGGAUAACUUCAGGAAACUGGGGCUAAUACCGGAUAGGAAUCCUUGCUGCAUGGUGGGGGUUGGAAAGCUUCGGCGGUUUUGGAUGGACUCGCGGCUUAUCAGCUUGUUGGUGGGGUAGUGGCUUACCAAGGCUUUGACGGGUAGCCGGCCUGAGAGGGCGACCGGCCACAUUGGGACUGGGAUACGGCCCAGACGCCUACGGGAGGCAGCAGUGGGGAAUACUGCACAAUGGGCGGAAGCCUGAUGCAGCAACGCCGCGUGCGGGAUGACGGCCUUCGGGUUGGAAACCGCUUUCAGCAGGGGCGAAGCUUGUGGUGACGGUACCUGCAGAAGAAGCACCGGCUAACUACGUG
This 465-nucleotide ribosomal RNA is filed under the name uncultured bacterium. RNAcentral's name for it is "partial 16S ribosomal RNA". It matches the Rfam family "Bacterial small subunit ribosomal RNA", at positions 28 to 507 of the family's 1533-position model. The record is from RNAcentral.